CCGGAAUUAUUGGGUUUAAAGGGUGCGCAGGCGGAAGAUUAAGUCGGCGGUGAAAUUUUGCAGCUCAACUGUAAAAGUGCCAUCGAUACUGGUUUUCUUGAGUGCGGAUGAGGUAGGCGGAAUUUGUGGUGUAGCGGUGAAAUGCGUAGAUAUCACAAGGAACACCGAUUGCGGAGGCAGCUUACUAAACCGUUACUGACGCUCAUGCACGAAGGCGUGGGGAUCAAACAGGAUUAGAUACCCUGGUAGUCCACGCAGUAAACGAUGAUUACUAGCUGUUUGCGAUACAUUGUAAGCGGCUGAGCGAAAGCGUUAAGUAAUCCACCUGGGGAGUACGUUCGCAAGAAUGAAACUCAAAGGAAUUGACGGGGGCCCGCACAAGCGGAGGAACAUGUGGUUUAAUUCGAUGAUACGCGAGGAACCUUACC
This 428-nucleotide ribosomal RNA is filed under the name uncultured Bacteroidota bacterium. RNAcentral's name for it is "bacterial SSU rRNA". It matches the Rfam family "Bacterial small subunit ribosomal RNA", at positions 545 to 975 of the family's 1533-position model. The record is from RNAcentral. Lineage: Bacteria; Pseudomonadati; Bacteroidota.